This 494-nucleotide ribosomal RNA is filed under the name uncultured bacterium. Its description in RNAcentral is "partial 16S ribosomal RNA". It matches the Rfam family "Bacterial small subunit ribosomal RNA", at positions 28 to 507 of the family's 1533-position model. The record is from RNAcentral.
GACGAACGCUGGCGGCGUGCUUAACACAUGCAAGUCGAACGGAAAGGCCUGCUUUCCCUUGUGGAUUGCGGGUACUCGAGUGGCGAACGGGUGAGUAACACGUGAGUGAUCUGCCCCCAACUUGGGUAUAAGCCUGGGAAACUGGGUCUAAUUCCCGAUAGGACUGCAGGGUGGAGCCUGUGGUGGAAAACGAUUUUCUAGUGGUUGGGGAUGAGCUCGCGGCCUAUCAGCUUGUUGGUGGGGUAAUGGUCUACCAAGGCGGCGACGGGUAGCCGGCCUGAGAGGGUGGACGGCCACAUUGGGACUGAGAUACGGCCCAGACUCCUACGGGAGGCAGCAGUGGGGAAUAUUGCACAAUGGGCGGAAGCCUGAUGCAGCGACGCCGCGUGGGGGAUGACGGCCUUCGGGUUGUAAACUCCUUUCGACCGCGAGGAAGCCACCUGGUUGGAAGGGUGGUGACGGUAGUGGUAGAAGAAGCACCGGCUAACUACGUG